RNAcentral lists this long non-coding RNA (1067 nucleotides) under Panax ginseng (ginseng). RNAcentral describes it as "long non-coding RNA (PGIN_LNC008342)". Lineage: Eukaryota; Viridiplantae; Streptophyta; Magnoliopsida; Apiales; Araliaceae. The record is from RNAcentral.
CGUGAUUUAAUGUUUUCUCUAGCUCAGUGAGCUGUUUUCAAUAUGAUUCUAGAAGUAAAAAUGAAGUGUGUGUAUGGUUCUAGCUAAGUUUGUUGUGAUUUGGGUGAGUUUUGUUGAGUCUAUUAGGCUCCAACAAGUGUGAUAAUCCUUUAUGUUGAAUUUGAGACUACUUGGUCACAAAGUUCACGAGGCUUCCCGUUUCUAUUUGUCCUGCAAUAUGCUUUGGAAGUGUACAGACUUUUCUAUUCCUUGGAAAUCUGGAAUGAGCUCUAUGUUACACUUUCUAAACAGAGUUAUUUAUCUUUUGUUUUUCAGCGGAGAUAGGAUCAUUUAUCUUGCUUCUCUAUGGGCCUAUGUUAUGGUGCCUUUAGGGUCAUAUUUGAGUCUAGUCUUGUCCCCUUCUGCUAAUACUUUAUUUAUUCCGCAAGUCAUACUUUCUUAACUCCUGUUUCAUACUACAAUAAUCAUGCUUUUAUCUCCUGUUUCAUACUACAAUAAUCAUGCUUUUAACUCCUGUUUCAUACUACAAUAAUCAUACUUUCUUAACUCCUGUUUCAUGAAAAAUUGUGACCAAAUAAUUGCUCUGUUUACGUUUUCAAAAUGACACUCUCAUUUUUUGAAUAAUGCAGAGACUGGAUUCUCAUAAGAGGAAUAGAAAGAAAGAAUAACAUAUACUAGUACACCAAAUUCAAGCACACAGAUAAAAGCAUGAUUAUAUAUAAAACUUUCAGUAAAUUUUCCUCCCAAAUGUCAGAACUGUAUAUAGUUAAAAUUAAAAUAAAAACCCAUAAGAAAUCGAACACAAAUUCGUUCCUUUCGACCGAAUCGGAUGAGGGAAUGGGGUUUGGCUUUUUGUUUUGGAAUACCCAUAAAAAACUGAAACAGUCUUGGAGACAUACCAGGAUUUAGGGCUCGUUUUGGAAGCCCUAAAUGAUUUUGCGCUGUACCAGGAUCUGAGGGACGGGGUCGAGUCAAUCGAGGUAUGCUGGAUUUUCCGGAUGAAGAAGAACCCUAGUUUGCGUCUUCAGUUGAGAGAAAUAGAAGGGGAGAAAAAAAGUAGAUGCCGG